This 73-nucleotide transfer RNA is filed under the name Caudoviricetes sp. Its description in RNAcentral is "tRNA-Met". It matches the Rfam family "tRNA". Rfam says of the family: Transfer RNA (tRNA) molecules are approximately 80 nucleotides in length. Their secondary structure includes four short double-helical elements and three loops (D, anti-codon, and T loops). Lineage: Duplodnaviria; Heunggongvirae; Uroviricota; Caudoviricetes. The record is from RNAcentral.
GCCGCUUUCGCACAACUGGUAGUGCUCCUGGCUCAUAACCGGGUAGGUGCAGGUUCGAGCCCUGCAAGCGGCA